This 721-nucleotide ribosomal RNA is filed under the name uncultured Bacteroidales bacterium. RNAcentral's name for it is "bacterial SSU rRNA". It matches the Rfam family "Bacterial small subunit ribosomal RNA", at positions 67 to 776 of the family's 1533-position model. Lineage: Bacteria; Pseudomonadati; Bacteroidota; Bacteroidia; Bacteroidales. The record is from RNAcentral.
GGGCAGCAUUAUUUUAGCUUGCUAAGAUAGAUGGCGACCGGCGCACGGGUGCGUAACGCGUAUGCAACCUGCCUGUAAUUAGGGAAUAACCCGGUGAAAGUCGGACUAAUACCCUAUAUUCUUCUUUCUCCGCAUGGGGGAGGACGGAAAGAUUUAUUGAUUACAGAUGGGCAUGCGUCCCAUUAGCUUGUUGGUAAGGUAACGGCUUACCAAGGCAACGAUGGGUAGGGGGACUGAGAGGUUGACCCCCCACACUGGUACUGAGACACGGACCAGACUCCUACGGGAGGCAGCAGUGAGGAAUAUUGGUCAAUGGGCGAGAGCCUGAACCAGCCAAGUCGCGUGAAGGACGACGGUUCUAUGGAUUGUAAACUUCUUUUGUAGAGGAAUAAUGGCAGCUACGCGUAGCUGAGAUGCAUGUACUCUACGAAUAAGUAUCGGCUAACUCCGUGCCAGCAGCCGCGGUAAUACGGAGGAUACGAGCGUUAUCCGGAAUUAUUGGGUUUAAAGGGUGCGUAGGUGGCGUAUUAAGUCAGUGGUGAAAAGCUGCAGCUCAACUGUAGUCUUGCCGUUGAAACUGAUAUGCUAGAGAGGAGACGAGGUAUGCGGAAUGUGUGGUGUAGCGGUGAAAUGCAUAGAUAUCACACAGAACGCCGAUUGCGAAGGCAGCGUACCAGGCUCCGUCUGACACUGAAGCACGAAAGCGUGGGGAUCAAACAGG